Molecule: ribosomal RNA, 292 nt
Filed under: uncultured prokaryote
Description: partial 16S ribosomal RNA
Rfam family: Bacterial small subunit ribosomal RNA
Source: RNAcentral
GUGCCAGCCGCCGCGGUAAUACGUAGGUGGCAAGCGUUAUCCGGAAUUAUUGGGCGUAAAGCGCGCGUAGGCGGUUUUUUAAGUCUGAUGUGAAAGCCCACGGCUCAACCGUGGAGGGUCAUUGGAAACUGGAAAACUUGAGUGCAGAAGAGGAAAGUGGAAUUCCAUGUGUAGCGGUGAAAUGCGCAGAGAUAUGGAGGAACACCAGUGGCGAAGGCGACUUUCUGGUCUGUAACUGACGCUGAGGAGCGAAAGCGUGGGGAGCGAACAGGAUUAGAUACCCUCGUAGUCC